This 718-nucleotide ribosomal RNA is filed under the name uncultured fungus. RNAcentral's name for it is "SSU rRNA". It matches the Rfam family "Eukaryotic small subunit ribosomal RNA", at positions 827 to 1570 of the family's 1831-position model. The record is from RNAcentral. Lineage: Eukaryota; Fungi.
CGCGUGGUUCUAUUUUGUUGGUUUCUAGGACCGCCGUAAUGAUUAAUAGGGACAGUCGGGGGCAUCAGUAUUCAAUUGUCAGAGGUGAAAUUCUUGGAUCUAUUGAAGACUAACUACUGCGAAAGCAUUUGCCAAGGAUGUUUUCAUUGAUAAGGAACGAAAGUUAGGGGAUCGAAGACGAUCAGAUACCGUCGUAGUCUUAACCAUAAACUAUGCCGACUAGGGAUCGGACGAUGUUAUUUUUUGACUCGUUCGGCACCUUUCGAGAAAUCAAAGUGCUUGGGCUCCAGGGGGAGUAUGGUCGCAAGGCUGAAACUUAAAGAAAUUGACGGAAGGGCACCACCAGGGGUGGGACCUGCGGCUUAAUUUGACUCAACACGGGGAAACUCACCAGGUCCAGACACAGUGAGGAUUGACAGAUUGAGAGCUCUUUCUUGAUUCUGUGGAAGGUGGUGCAUGGCCGUUCUUAGUUGGUGGAGUGAUUUGUCAGCUUAAUUGCGAUAACGAACGAGACCUUGACCUGCUAAAUAGCCCGANCUGCUUUGGCAGUUCGCUGGCUUCUUAGAGGGACUAUCGGCUCAAGCCGAUGGAAGUUCGUGGCAAUAACAGGUCUGUGAUGCCCUUAGAUGUCCUGGGCAGCACGCGCGUCACACUGACAGAGCCNGCGAGUUUUUCCUUGGUCGAAAGGCCCGGGUAAUCUUGUUAAACUCUGUCGUGC